AUAUAUUCAAUUACUCAUCUCCAACUUACUUAUUAUAUUCAGUUUCUAAAUUCAUCAUACAGAAUUCAAUAUCUUUACUUAAUACAACACAAUUUGAUAAUCUCAAUUCUCAAGGUCACAGAUUUUUUCCAAAACGGUCAGUCCAAAGUCAUAUUCCACAAUAUUCUAAUCACAAUUUCAACAAUACUUUUCUAAAUCAGAAUUCUUCAUAAGAAAAUAAUAAAAGCAAAAAAAACAAAGAGGUAGCACUAAGCUUACCCCGGCUUACAACUAUCACAGUCUGGCCCCUAUUUCUCUUUCUCAACUUCUUUAUCCUAU
Molecule: long non-coding RNA, 318 nt
Filed under: Physcomitrium patens
Lineage: Eukaryota; Viridiplantae; Streptophyta; Bryopsida; Funariales; Funariaceae
Description: long non-coding RNA (PPAT_LNC008350)
Source: RNAcentral